CCUACGGGUGGCAGCAGUGAGGAAUUUUGGUCAAUGGCCGUAAGGCUGAACCAGCCAAGUCGCGUGAAGGAAGAAGGAUCUAUGGUUUGUAAACUUCUUUUAUAGGGGAAUAAAGGUAUCCACGUGUGGAUAUUUGCAUGUACCCUAUGAAUAAGCAUCGGCUAACUCCGUGCCAGCAGCCGCGGUAAUACGGAGGAUGCGAGCGUUAUCCGGAUUUAUUGGGUUUAAAGGGUGCGUAGGUUGUUUUUUAAGUCAGCGGUGAAAGUUUGUGGCUCAACCAUAAAAUUGCCGUUGAAACUGGCAGACUUGAGUUGGCGAGAAGUACGCGGAAUGCGCGGUGUAGCGGUGAAAUGCAUAGAUAUCGCGCAGAACUCCGAUUGCGAAGGCAGCGUACCGGCGCCAGACUGACGCUGAGGCACGAAAGCGUGGGGAUCGAACAGGAUUAGAUACCCGGGUAGUC
Molecule: ribosomal RNA, 460 nt
Filed under: uncultured bacterium
Lineage: Bacteria
Description: partial 16S ribosomal RNA
Rfam family: Bacterial small subunit ribosomal RNA
Source: RNAcentral